AAUCUCAAAGAGAAUUUACAUACCAGGAAGCCCAUGUGUGUUUGUGUUAGUUUUGGAUGUCUUUGUGUAAUCCAGCCCCAUUUCCUGUUUCCCAACAACUGUAACACUCAUUUUAAGUCAAGCAGGGCUACCAACCCACACUUGGUAGAAAAGCUGCUUACCAUUCAGAAGCUAUAGCAGGUAGAUGGAAACCUUAUUAUCUGGCCUCCAAAGAAGCUGAAUAUUUUAUAGCCUUCCCUUAGCUAUGUUCAUUUUCCCUCCAUUAUCAUAAAAUCAGAUCCAUAUUUAUGUGCCCCAAACAAAAUUUAAGAGCAGUUACAUAUCUCUCCCGGUAGCCCUUGUUUCUUUUGAGGGUAACGUUGUGAGGCUAUAGAGACUUAUUCAACAGUAAAACAGGUCAAUCCUUUUACAUGUCUAUUAUACUAAAAAUUAUGUUCAGGGUAUUACUAUUUUAUUUCACCAGACUCAGUCUCAAGUGACUUGGCUAUCUCCAAAUCAAAUCUAUCCUUAGAGAUUAAACAUUUUUCUACCGUUAAUUUUUUUCAAGUCUAUAAUCUGAGCCAGUCCCCACGGAGUGACCAAGUUUCAGAAAUGCUUUCAUCUUCGCAACAUUUUAUAUAUACUAUUAUAUGGGGUGAAUAAAGUUUUAAAUCCGAAAUCUAUACUGUGUCAAAGCUCAAUAUGUGCCAGGUAACUAAACUGUUCACAUCACUAGCGUUGGAUGUAAUAACAGGAUAGUGGCUCACCCCUAAGAGCUGCCAUAAAAUUCCAUUAUGAUAGAUACUACCACCCUCUCUUUGGAGCAACCUUCCUGAUAACCAUUGUGCCAGUGAACUAAGGGAAUCAUCCUUCCUCCUUGCUUUCUAGGGAUCUGUCUUUUUGAUAGUGACUGCUGCACAGACCUUCGCCAAGAAAGACAGCAUAUAAAUUGAGGCCAUUAGUAAAGAUAAUAAGGAUACAACUAUAAUUGAAAGAAUGAAGGAGUGAGGCAAAUCCUAAAAUACUGCAAGUAGGCCCUCUUUAAUAUAACAUAUCACAAGCAGUCUCUACCCAGCAACACUCCCCUACAUUAAGUUCCUGAACAUUCCACCCUUCUCUGAUAGAAACAUGUAAGGGAUAGGGGAGCUUGGCUGUAAUCUUCAGCUUUGCAAAUCAGAUGACCACUAAGAGACUUUCCUAUUAAGUAUACCCAGGUCCAUCCCUAUGCUCCUCGUGUCGUGUAUGUGUUGUUUUUCAAGAAAGGUGAAGAAAGAUGGCUUAUCAGAUGCAAGGAUGGAAUUUGUUUUAGUUAUAUGUGGAGAAAGGAUAGUACUGAAAGAGAACAAAGAGAAGGAUCGGGAAAGAGACUAAAUUGGAGUGGAUUGAUAAAGAGCCUUGAAAUCCUGAAUGACUAAUUCAGUAUAGAGGAUAACAAGGAUUUGUGAGGCAGAUGAUAAUGUUUCGCAAGUAAAGAUGGCUAUUUGGGUGAGGGUAAUUUGGUUUAGAAUACAAGGUGAAGAAAGAUGGGAGACAGGAAGAUAAUUGGUCCAAGCAUGAAGGACAGAAGGAAAACAAAGUCAUUAGAGGCUGUAUAGGAUAGUGAACUUUCACAAUGAUACUUAUAAUAAAAACCUGUUAUUUUACUUUCCCC
Molecule: long non-coding RNA, 1630 nt
Organism: Macaca fascicularis (crab-eating macaque)
Lineage: Eukaryota; Metazoa; Chordata; Mammalia; Primates; Cercopithecidae
Source: Ensembl